AGUGGCUUCCAUCGUCAUGUGAUGAUUCGUUUAAUUAUAUCUGCAAGUUCCAGAUAAAUCUUCACCAGACUACACCUUUAAUAAAUAUUAUUAGAUAUGUCUGUCCUGAUAAAUUUAGUGGAAAAGAAGAAAGCGAGAAAUGUUUUUACAUCGGUGGACUUAAAAAUCAACCUAGAUUAACCUGGGAUGACGCUAAAAAGGUUUGCAGUAAAUUAUCUUUUCAAACAGUGGUACAGAUUGCAAGUGUAAAAAACUCUAAUGAACAAGCCUACUUAAGCUUGCUAAUGAAAGGCUCUCGUGUCGAUGCAUGGAUUGGAUUAAAGUCUUAUGAUACUCAGCAAUUCCCUAACACUUGGCAAGAUAAAUCUCCUGUCAAUUAUACCAACUGGUACAAGUAUCUCAUGUACGAAGGAUUUCUUUCCUCCUUAUCUACA
This is a long non-coding RNA of Biomphalaria glabrata, 434 nucleotides long. RefSeq lists it as uncharacterized. The record is from RefSeq and is a predicted model, not a curated record. The transcript is spliced from 3 exons. NCBI's taxonomy places the organism in Eukaryota, Metazoa, Mollusca, Gastropoda, Planorbidae.